RNAcentral lists this small nuclear RNA (62 nucleotides) under Erinaceus europaeus (western European hedgehog). RNAcentral's name for it is "U7 small nuclear RNA (ENSEEUG00000022594.1)". The record is from RNAcentral. Lineage: Eukaryota; Metazoa; Chordata; Mammalia; Eulipotyphla; Erinaceidae.
ACGCAUCACAACUCUUUUAGAACUUAUCUAGCAGGUCUUCAAGUCCACAGAGGAAGGCUCUC